Long non-coding RNA from Acinonyx jubatus (cheetah), 2626 nucleotides. RefSeq lists it as uncharacterized. Lineage: Eukaryota; Metazoa; Chordata; Mammalia; Carnivora; Felidae. The record is from RefSeq and is a predicted model, not a curated record. The transcript has 6 exons.
AGUUAUGGACAGGGUCGAUCUGAAUGUCCUGGCCGACGCCUUUGUGCACAGGAGGCAUUUCACCUUGGGCGUUGUCGGUAUCUGUGGCUGGGACGGCCUUUGUGGGGUACAGUCGGGUCAGGGUCCACGGCUCACUUUUCCGCACCCACACAGCGGGCACUGAGCGUGGCCUGCGGAUCCGGCUUCUGCCUGCGUGUGACCAGGUGAUGUGUGCGAGGCCUCGGAACCGCUCUCCCCAGCACAGAACGCUCUGCCGUCAGAAAAUGGCCAAGAAUCCGGAAUUCCGCAGAAGCAGAGUGGGGAGCGGGGAGAUGGGCGUAGAAACACGUGUUCGCAGCCAAGAGCACACAGCUGUUUCCUCUUGUGGCUUCCCCAGCCUCAGAUGAUUUGUUUUAUUAGAGGCGAGUUGUGUUCGCUACCGACUGACGGCGCUGGCGGCCCCGGGAGGCAGAUGACCGACAGCGCAUCGCGGCGCUGACCCAGCGCCACGUGUGUGCCUGACGUUCGCCCACAGCUGUCGCUUGAUGCCCGUGCCCUGAAUGCCCUCGUUGGAUUCACACGGAAGCCCUGCAGGCAGUGUGCACGCCCUUGCUAAUUUUACCUGGUGAAUUUACGAGGUGAUGUUGUUAUCCACCCAUUUCGCAGAUGAAAAACUGAGGCUCAGAGAAGCCCCCGCGACCCAGGCCCGGGGUUUCAGCUCUGCAACUCCGCUUUGGACGUGCCUGAUCCAGGAGAGACAACCAACCGGAGACACCAUGUUCAGAGGCUACCUGGAGCCCUGUGGCCAGUGCAACCAGGCUUCCAGCAAUGAGCCGGACAAUCAGAACUUCUCUCUGUCACGGGGCUGGGACUCAGGAACUUGAAGAAUCACUACCUGGCCUGUCUGUACCAUAGCCUCGUCUCUCCAGGGAGGAGGGCACCACUGACCAUCUCUGUUUGCCACAGAAUUAAGAGGAUGAGGACCGUUUUUGCCAGGGCUGUCUCCGGUUUUGGCUGGAGAAGAAGAAAACUUCCUUCUCGAGAAGCCGACAGCCACCAGCCAGGGCAGAGCCUGCCUGCCAGCAGCCUGCAGGGCCCCCCCCCCCCACCAUGCCUGAGGGCUUUCUAGACCCUGCAGCUCCUCUUUGGGGGCUGGCUUCCCCCCCGCCUCUGGGGUCCCCAUCACCCUCUGCAAUUUGUGCUUUGUCUCCUACCACUUGUGACUCCACGUUCCCUCCCCCGGGUCUGUGCUCCACGGUCCCCAUGCCCGCGGGCCACCCUUCCCUCUGCCCAGUGAGCUCCUCAGCAUCCUGCCAGGCUCCUGCGGAGACCUUCGGACUCGCAUCAGCAGGCAGCGGGGAGCAGGGGGAGGGUGUGGGCCCAGGAGAGGGAGGCGAUAGAAGUCAGAACCACCCCUGCUGGCCCCUCACGUGAUGACUCUUGGGGGGUGCUGGUCUGCCCCCUCCCUGUCGGGCCCCCACACCAGAGAGACCACCUCUGCUCUCCCCCCGGGCUGGGCCCUCCCAGAGUUCCAAGGCCCGGGACCUGCUCCUCACACGGCCUCUGGCUCUCUGCUCGGCCACAGUUUUUCCAUGGCCCCGGCAGCGACUCAUGCCAUUGGGCGCCGAAAGCCUCCAUGACCUUCAAGUGAACGUUCCCAUCUUAGCCCGAGACGUCCCAUUAUCUUCACUCUUUUAGCUUUACAUGCUUUUCAGGGGUUGCUUGCCCUGGUGCCUCCCUCGUGUCCUACUGGGCUGUCCUCGUUUUCUCCAUCUGGAAAACAGGCAAGUGCUGAUGCCCCCUGCCAGGCUCCGUGCAGGGCUCACUUCGAGGACUCACCCCGGCCUGGUCUCACGUACCUCGGGGUUAUCGCUUUCUGAGCUCUGACCUCACCAAUCAGAGGGCUGGAACCCACCACCUUCAAAUGGAAACGGACCUUGGGGUUUGGACACUCAGGGCCAGUGCAGUCGAGGGCCCCCCUAGGGUCACCCAGCUGCCGGGCAGAGGGACGGCACAGUCAAGCUUCCUGCUGGAGGCCGUUCGGUGAGAGCUGGGCUGCUCUCCCAGGCCACCGGGAGACUUUUGGGAGGACAGCAUCCUGGUUGGAGACUUUGGGGAGGGCAGCAUCUGUUAGUGCAGACUCCGGUGGGGUCCGUCUGCGGGGUCCCGGUCCCUAUGGCCCUCCCUGUGGGCCUCCCUGUAAGCUCCGUACCCCUGGGCUUGCCCUGCAGCCGUACCCCAGUCUCUUCCAGCCGGAGGGAGCCAGGAGGGGCUGCCGUGGGCCCAUCUGAUGAUGAGCUGUAUGGAGGGCGGGCUUGGUGAGUCAAGUGGCAGGGUCCCCACACCCUUCCUACGCACCCUAUUUACUCACCCAUCACUUGUGCAUUCCAGCAGGCAUAAGGCAGACGGUCCUUGUCUCCCUGAAGUGAACAACUCUGGUCGGUGUGACGAAUCUGGAGGCCAGACGAGACUGUCACUGCAGCUGGAUCCGUGUGACACCUCCCUGUCCUGUCCGUGUCCCAGCCCCAUCACUGUACAUCCAGGGCCCCCCCACAGCGAAGGCUCGGUCCCCACCUGCCCCUCCGGCCAGCCUUAGCAUGUGGGGGUCGGGGCUAAAACAGAAGCCUGAACCCCGAGUCGGGGUCAU